This 1004-nucleotide ribosomal RNA is filed under the name Burkholderia mallei. RNAcentral's name for it is "bacterial SSU rRNA". It matches the Rfam family "Bacterial small subunit ribosomal RNA", at positions 56 to 1045 of the family's 1533-position model. Lineage: Bacteria; Pseudomonadati; Pseudomonadota; Betaproteobacteria; Burkholderiales; Burkholderiaceae. The record is from RNAcentral.
UGCAGUCGACGGCAGCGGGGGAGAAGCUUGCUUUUCCUGCCGGCGAGUGGCUGUAACGGGUGAGUAAUACAUCGGAACGUGCCCUGUAGUGGGGGAUAACUAGUCGAAAGAUUAGCUAAUACCGCAUACGACCUGAGGGUGAAAGUGGGGGACCGCAAGGCCUCAUGCUAUAGGAGCGGCCGAUGUCUGAUUAGCUAGUUGGUGGGGUAAAGGCCUACCAAGGCGACGAUCAGUAGCUGGUCUGAGAGGACGAUCAGCCACACUGGGACUGAGACACGGCCCAGACUCCUACGGGAGGCAGCAGUGGGGAAUUUUGGACAAUGGGCGAAAGCCUGAUCCAGCAAUGCCGCGUGUGUGAAGAAGGCCUUCGGGUUGUAAAGCACUUUUGUCCGGAAAGAAAUGGCUCUGGUUAAUACCUGGGGUCGAUGACGGUACCGGAAGAAUAAGGACCGGCUAACUACGUGCCAGCAGCCGCGGUAAUACGUAGGGUCCAAGCGUUAAUCGGAAUUACUGGGCGUAAAGCGUGCGCAGGCGGUUGUGCAAGACCGAUGUGAAAUCCCCGAGCUUAACUUGGGAAUUGCAUUGGUGACUGCACGGCUAGAGUGUGUCAGAGGGGGGUAGAAUUCCACGUGUAGCAGUGAAAUGCGUAGAGAUGUGGAGGAAUACCGAUGGCGAAUGCAGCCCCCUGGGAUAACACUGACGCUCAUGCACGAAAGCGUGGGGAGCAAACAGGAUUAGAUACCCUGGUAGUCCACGCCCUAAACGAUGUCAACUAGUUGUUGGGGAUUCAUUUCCUUAGUAACGUAGCUAACGCGUGAAGUUGACCGCCUGGGGAGUACGGUCGCAAGAUUAAAACUCAAAGGAAUUGACGGGGACCCGCACAAGCGGUGGAUGAUGUGGAUUAAUUCGAUGCAACGCGAAAAACCUUACCUACCCUUGACAUGCCACUAACGAAGCAGAGAUGCAUUAGGUGCUCGAAAGAGAAAGUGGACACAGGUGCUGCA